Molecule: ribosomal RNA, 213 nt
Filed under: uncultured bacterium
Lineage: Bacteria
Description: partial 16S ribosomal RNA
Rfam family: Bacterial small subunit ribosomal RNA
Source: RNAcentral
UGGGCAACCUGCCCUCAGCUCUGGGAUAACUCCAAGAAAUUGGGGCUAAUACCGGAUAAGCCCUUCGGGGGAAAGAUUUAUCGCCAUUGGAUGGGCCCGCGUCGGAUUAGCUAGUUGGUGAGGUAACGGCUCACCAAGGCUACGAUCAGUAGCUGGUCUGAGAGGGUGACCGGCCACACUGGGACUGAGACACGGCCCAGACUCCUACAGGAG